Molecule: ribosomal RNA, 305 nt
Filed under: uncultured bacterium
Lineage: Bacteria
Description: bacterial SSU rRNA
Rfam family: Bacterial small subunit ribosomal RNA
Source: RNAcentral
CCUACGGGACGCAGCAGUGGGGGAUAUUGCACAAUGGGGGGAACCCUGAUGCAGCGACGCCGCGUGGGUGAAGGAGUGCUUCGGCAUGUAAAGCCCUAUCGGCAGGGAAGAAGCAAGACGGUACCUGACUAAGAAGCCCCGGCUAACUACGUGCCAGCAACCGCGGUAAUACGUAGGGGGCAAGCGUUAUCCGGAUUUACUGGGUGUAAAGGGAGCGUAGACGGCCAGACAAGUCUGAAGUGUAAAUCCAGCGCUUAACGUUGGAAGUGCUUUGGAAACUGCCGGGCUGGAGUGCAGGAGGGGCA